Molecule: ribosomal RNA, 254 nt
Filed under: uncultured bacterium
Lineage: Bacteria
Description: partial 16S ribosomal RNA
Rfam family: Bacterial small subunit ribosomal RNA
Source: RNAcentral
GACAGAGGUGCCGAGCGUUAGGCGGAAUCACUGGGCUUAAAGCGUGUGUAGGCGGAUCGUUAAGUACCUUGUGAAAUCCCACGGCUUUAACCGUGGAACUGCUUGGUAUACUGGCGAUCUUGAGCCACUUAGGGGCUACCGGAACAAAUGGUAGAGCGGUGAAAUGCGUAGAUAUCAUUUGGAACGCCAAUGGUGAAAACAGGUAGCUGGGAGUGUGCUGACGUGAGACACGAAAGCCAGGGGAGCAAACGGGG